Long non-coding RNA from Homo sapiens (human), 2881 nucleotides. Ensembl annotates it as serine protease 30, pseudogene. Its record names the gene PRSS30P. NCBI's taxonomy places the organism in Eukaryota, Metazoa, Chordata, Mammalia, Primates, Hominidae. The record is from Ensembl.
CGGAAGUUUAGCGAACCACCCUCAACCUCCGGAAGAGCGCGGGAAGUUUGCCGGAAACGGACAGAAAGGAGUCCCUGCGACCGCGUAGCCUCCUGCAGCGCCCCCUGUUGGCAGAGUCGUAGCGAGGCCGAGAUGAGGUCCGUGACGUGGCUGCGUGAGCAUCCCGGCUGCCUGUGGAUGAGUGGGCGUGGGGCUGAGAGGCGACAACAGUGGGGAGCUUCCUCAGCGAUCCUGGGCUUCUCGGGUCAGGCCAACUUCAGUCCGGGCUGGAGGCCGUGCACAACACCAAGCGCAUGGUGGGGUCCUCAGCUGCCUCGGGACUGGCUCCGCCUCUGCCCCUGGCCCUGGGAUGGGGGCCAAAGGUUUUGGGCAGUGGCAGCAGCAGGAGGAAGUAGCACCUGGAAAACGUGUCUCCUGAGUCGACCCUUCCUGUCUGGGGGGGCCGAACCCUGGCUGUCUUUGUUCCCAUAGCAACGAAUAGGGCUCCCCUAUGUUCCAGCCCCUUAGAUACGGUGUGCCCCAGGAGGGCUCUGCAGGAGCUACAGGUCCUUCUGGUGGGAAGGGAGGCGGGAGGUGGGCUGGGGCAGCCCGGCUGGCCUGUGUGGAGACAUCACACUUCCUGGUUGGGGACAGGGUGAAGAGGGUUGGUCCCCACCUCUGCCUUGAGCAGAGCUUCUAGUGGGUGAAGCAGUGGGGAUCUCCUGCCUGCCGGAAGGAUGGGUGGGGCUUCCACAUCGCAGCCCAGUAGGGUGGACUGACCGGUCUUCUGACCUCUGGCUCCUUGGAGGGACUGGCCUGAGGUGGGCCCUGGCAUCCCCAGCCUCCUCUAAACCACCUCCCUGGAACAUGCGGGACAGGAGCCCAAGCGGCAUCUGAGGAGGGCGGGUUCUGCCAGGCACAGAGGGCUCCAGCGUGAUUGCCACUGGUUAAUGACCUGCCACCCCCGCCCCCCCAACCUCUGGUGCCGUCCAAGGACUCUGACCCCAGUGCAGUGUCUGUAGGGAAGAGGAGCCAUGGGGCUUCGGGCAGGCCCCAUCCUGCUUCUGCUGCUGUGGCUGCUGCCAGGGGCCCAUUGGGAUGUGCUGCCUUCAGGUACCGUAGACAUCUCAUCCCUGCACUCAAACAGCCCCUACUCCUGGCCAGGGAGGACUGGCCCCAGGGGACAUGCAGAGGCCCUUGGCCCUGGGAGCCUCAUCCCUGGACAUCAAGGGCAGAGGAAUGUCAGAAGGGAUGUCAGAAGGGCAGAGGGAUGUUAGGGUAAAGAGUCAGACCGGGAGGGAUGGGCUUUCUGAGAGGGAAUAAAGCUGAGGUCUCCCACCCGCCCAUCCCUCUGCAGAAUGCGGCCACUCCAAGGAGGCCGGGAGGAUUGUGGGAGGCCAAGACACCCAGGAAGGACGCUGGCCGUGGCAGGUUGGCCUGUGGUUGACCUCAGUGGGGCAUGUAUGUGGGGGCUCCCUCAUCCACCCACGCUGGGUGCUCACAGCCGCCCACUGCUUCCUGAGGUGAGUGGCGCUGGGUGGGGGUGCUCCUCACCCCUCCCCUUGGCGGCUGCCUGCAGUGGGCCGUGUUUCCAUUCCCCUCCCAGGUCUGAGGAUCCCGGGCUCUACCAUGUUAAAGUCGGAGGGCUGACACCCUCACUUUCAGAGCCCCACUCGGCCUUGGUGGCUGUGAGGAGGCUCCUGGUCCACUCCUCAUACCAUGGGACCACCACCAGCGGGGACAUUGCCCUGAUGGAGCUGGACUCCCCCUUGCAGGCCUCCCAGUUCAGCCCCAUCUGCCUCCCAGGACCCCAGACCCCCCUCGCCAUUGGGACCGUGUGCUGGGUAAACGGGCUGGGGGUCCACUCAGGAGAGGGGGAAGGGGAAUAUGCACUCACCAGCCCCUACUCCUAGUCAGGGAGGACAAGCCCAGGGACCACGCAGAGCCAGCCUGAGUGGUCUCCACAGACGUUGGUCUGCGUGUUUAUCUCCUCUCCCCUCCCACCCCACCCUGAAGCUGGGAACACUUGGGGCCAGGACCCAUGCUGUCCAGACUGUGGGACUCCCCUUGGCCAAGGUGACCACCAUAUUGGAUUUUGGGGAUCUUGAGCCAGUGUCCAGGAUUGUGCCCGUGUUGGGAUGAAUAAGCCAAGGCUAAGAGGUCAUGAGAUUAGCCAGGGUCAUGGGAGAGGAUCUGGGCUUGAGCCCUGCUCCCUGACCCCACUGCCUCCUGGUUUGGGAGUUGAGAAGAGCAGGGUGGGUGGGCAGAGAAGAGGUAGGAGGUGCAGGCUGCCACCAUCACAGGUGAGAGGGCAGAGGCUCACCUGAUGGGGACGAGGCUUGAGGUGGGCUCAGGCUGGCCCCCACAUCACAUCCAGCCCUGGCGAGUGUCCUUCAGGAGGUGGCUGUGCCCCUCCUGGACUCGAACAUGUGUGAGCUGAUGUACCACCUAGGAGAGCCCAGCCUGGCUGGCCAGCGCCUCAUCCAGGACGACAUGCUCUGUGCUGGCUCUGUCCAGGGCAAGAAAGACUCCUGCCAGGGUGACUCCGGGGGGCCGCUGGUCUGCCCCAUCAAUGAUACGUGGAUCCAGGCCGGCAUUGUGAGCUGGGGAUUCGGCUGUGCCCGGCCUUUCCGGCCUGGUGUCUACACCCAGGUGCUAAGCUACACAGACUGGAUUCAGAGAACCCUGGCUGAAUCUCACUCAGGCAUGUCUGGGGCCCGCCCAGGUGCCCCAGGAUCCCACUCAGGCACCUCCAGAUCCCACCCAGUGCUGCUGCUUGAGCUGUUGACCGUAUGCUUGCUUGGGUCCCUGUGAACCAUGAGCCAUGGAGUCCGGGAUCCCCUUUCUGGUAGGAUUGAUGGAAUCUAAUAAUAAAAACUGUAGGUUUUUUAUGUGUAUUUUA